This 76-nucleotide transfer RNA is filed under the name subsurface metagenome. Its description in RNAcentral is "tRNA-Val". It matches the Rfam family "tRNA". From Rfam's summary of the family: Transfer RNA (tRNA) molecules are approximately 80 nucleotides in length. Their secondary structure includes four short double-helical elements and three loops (D, anti-codon, and T loops). Further hydrogen bonds mediate the characteristic L-shaped molecular structure. tRNAs have two regions of fundamental functional importance: the anti-codon, which is responsible for specific mRNA codon recognition, and the 3' end, to which the tRNAs corresponding amino acid is attached (by aminoacyl-tRNA synthetases). tRNAs cope with the degeneracy of the genetic code in two manners: having more than one tRNA (with a specific anti-codon) for a particular amino acid; and 'wobble' base-pairing, i.e. permitting non-standard base-pairing at the 3rd anti-codon position. The record is from RNAcentral.
GGGCAUGUGGUCUAGUGGCUAUGACAACUCCCUCACACGGAGUAGGUCGCAGGUUCGAUUCCUGCUUUGCCCACCA